Molecule: transfer RNA, 68 nt
Filed under: Salmo salar (Atlantic salmon)
Lineage: Eukaryota; Metazoa; Chordata; Actinopteri; Salmoniformes; Salmonidae
Also listed under: 1 other name
Rfam family: tRNA
About the family: Transfer RNA (tRNA) molecules are approximately 80 nucleotides in length. Their secondary structure includes four short double-helical elements and three loops (D, anti-codon, and T loops). Further hydrogen bonds mediate the characteristic L-shaped molecular structure. tRNAs have two regions of fundamental functional importance: the anti-codon, which is responsible for specific mRNA codon recognition, and the 3' end, to which the tRNAs corresponding amino acid is attached (by aminoacyl-tRNA synthetases). tRNAs cope with the degeneracy of the genetic code in two manners: having more than one tRNA (with a specific anti-codon) for a particular amino acid; and 'wobble' base-pairing, i.e. permitting non-standard base-pairing at the 3rd anti-codon position.
Source: Rfam by way of RNAcentral
CCCUGUAGCUCAGUUGGUAGAGCAUGGUGUUUGCAACACCAGGGUUGUGGGUUCGAUUCCCACGAGGG